Molecule: ribosomal RNA, 191 nt
Filed under: uncultured bacterium
Lineage: Bacteria
Description: partial 16S ribosomal RNA
Rfam family: Bacterial small subunit ribosomal RNA
Source: RNAcentral
AGUUGGUGAGGUAAUGGCUCACCAAGGCGACGAUCGGUAGCUGGUCUGAGAGGAUGAUCAGCCACAUUGGGACUGAGACACGGCCCAAACUCCUACGGGAGGCAGCAGUGGGGAAUAUUGGACAAUGGGCGCAAGCCUGAUCCAGCCAUGCCGCGUGAGUGAUGAAGGCCUUAGGGUUGUAAAGCUCUUUC